AUCCCUGGGGAAAGAGACGAGCAUAGGUUCCUCCCAAGAUGCCACCCGCUUCAUUCAAGUGUCUGGAAGCACUGUGUUCCUGUUAGAGCCACCAGCACAAGCACCAGACGAUGCUGAUCCAGGUGAAAGCCCCAGUGCAGCAGCAACAGCACAUGAUGGAGACGAUGAUGAGGAGGAGACCAUCUCUGUGGAUUCCAGAAGGCAUGAGGACCCAGAUGCUAUACAGUGGGAAAACCAGCCUGGCAACAUAGUGCGUAUUAAUAAAAGGACACCACAUCCUGCCAAAUUCCAGCUGCGCUAAUUGUAUUGUGUUCACAGAGCUCACAAGCUAUCAGAAAGUUGUAUGGCAACCACCUCCGGCGCCAAAUAGAACUGGCAGACAUAGACAUUCAGUACAAGAAGAAAAAGAAUCUUGCACUGGAGUCCGAAAUAAAAAAGAGGACAAUUAGGAAACUGGACCUUGAAAUAAAAAAACUUGAGAGGGAGGUGAGAUAUGCCUUCAAUGUACACUGUAUGCUAACUGUAACACAAAUGUAUUAAUCAUUAUUUUUCUUUCCUCCCCCAGCUCCAAGAAGAUGACACAGCUCAAAAUAAAAAUUAGGUAUAUUCUCGUAAAGUCAAGUGAGCCAUGACAUAUGAGCUCUUAUUGUGAGCACACAGGACGGUGGCAUCUUUCUAAGGUAUAUUUUAUUUUCACAGCAAUCAGUACAACCAAGUCAUCGUUAUAAGGCACCGGCCUCUUUUGCC
Molecule: long non-coding RNA, 747 nt
Organism: Siniperca chuatsi (mandarin fish)
Lineage: Eukaryota; Metazoa; Chordata; Actinopteri; Centrarchiformes; Sinipercidae
Exons: 4
Source: RefSeq, a predicted model, not a curated record